UGGGGAAUAUUGCACAAUGGGCGAAAGCCUGAUGCAGCAACGCCGCGUGAGUGAUGAAGGCCUUCGGGUUGUAAAGCUCUGUCUUUUGGGACGAUAAUGACGGUACCAAAGGAGGAAGCCACGGCUAACUACGUGCCAGCAGCCGCGGUAAUACGUAGGUGGCAAGCGUUGUCCGAAUUUACUGGGCGUAAAGGAUGCGUAGGCGGAUUUUUAAGUGAGAUGUGAAAUACCCGGGCUUAACUUGGGUGCUGCAUUUCAAACUGGGAAUCUAGAGUGCGGGAGAGGAGAAUGGAAUUCCUAGUGUAGCGGUGAAAUGCGUAGAGAUUAGGAAGAACACCAGUGGCGAAGGCGAUUCUCUGGACCGUAACUGACGCUGAGGCAUGAAAGCGUGGGUAGCAAACAGGAUUAGAUACCCUGGUAGUCCACGCCGUAAACGAUGAGUACUAGGUGUAGGAGGUAUCGACCCCUUCUGUGCCGCAGUUAACACAAUAAGUACUCCGCCUGGGAAGUACGAUCGCAAGAUUAAAACUCAAAGGAAUUGACGGGGUC
RNAcentral lists this ribosomal RNA (549 nucleotides) under uncultured bacterium. Its description in RNAcentral is "partial 16S ribosomal RNA". It matches the Rfam family "Bacterial small subunit ribosomal RNA", at positions 355 to 920 of the family's 1533-position model. The record is from RNAcentral.